This 454-nucleotide ribosomal RNA is filed under the name uncultured bacterium. RNAcentral's name for it is "bacterial SSU rRNA". It matches the Rfam family "Bacterial small subunit ribosomal RNA", at positions 330 to 801 of the family's 1533-position model. The record is from RNAcentral.
ACCGUACUCCUACGGGAGGCAGCAGUGGGGAAUAUUGGACAAUGGGCGCAAGCCUGAUCUAGCCAUGCCGCGUGAGCGAUGAAGGCCUUAGGGUUGUAAAGCUCUUUCAGUGGGGAAGAUAAUGACUGUACCGGAAGAAUAAGCCCCGGCUAACUUCGUGCCAGCAGCCGCGGUAAUACGAAGGGGGCUAGCGUUGCUCGGAAUCACUGGGCGUAAAGGGCGCGUAGGCGGACUUUUAAGUCGGAGGUGAAAGCCCAGGGCUCAACCCUGGAAUUGCCUUCGAUACUGGGAGUCUUGAGUUCGGAAGAGGUUGGUGGAACUGCGAGUGUAGAGGUGAAAUUCGUAGAUAUUCGCAAGAACACCGGUGGCGAAGGCGGCCAACUGGUCCGAAACUGACGCUGAGGCGCGAAAGCGUGGGGAGCAAACAGGAUUAGAAACCCCGGUAGUCCUUGAC